RNAcentral lists this ribosomal RNA (1367 nucleotides) under Lactiplantibacillus plantarum. RNAcentral's name for it is "Lactobacillus plantarum partial 16S ribosomal RNA". It matches the Rfam family "Bacterial small subunit ribosomal RNA", at positions 76 to 1433 of the family's 1533-position model. Lineage: Bacteria; Bacillati; Bacillota; Bacilli; Lactobacillales; Lactobacillaceae. The record is from RNAcentral.
GAUUUACAUUUGAGUGAGUGGCGAACUGGUGAGUAACACGUGGGAAACCUGCCCAGAAGCGGGGGAUAACACCUGGAAACAGAUGCUAAUACCGCAUAACAACUUGGACCGCAUGGUCCGAGCUUGAAAGAUGGCUUCGGCUAUCACUUUUGGAUGGUCCCGCGGCGUAUUAGCUAGAUGGUGGGGUAACGGCUCACCAUGGCAAUGAUACGUAGCCGACCUGAGAGGGUAAUCGGCCACAUUGGGACUGAGACACGGCCCAAACUCCUACGGGAGGCAGCAGUAGGGAAUCUUCCACAAUGGACGAAAGUCUGAUGGAGCAACGCCGCGUGAGUGAAGAAGGGUUUCGGCUCGUAAAACUCUGUUGUUAAAGAAGAACAUAUCUGAGAGUAACUGUUCAGGUAUUGACGGUAUUUAACCAGAAAGCCACGGCUAACUACGUGCCAGCAGCCGCGGUAAUACGUAGGUGGCAAGCGUUGUCCGGAUUUAUUGGGCGUAAAGCGAGCGCAGGCGGUUUUUUAAGUCUGAUGUGAAAGCCUUCGGCUCAACCGAAGAAGUGCAUCGGAAACUGGGAAACUUGAGUGCAGAAGAGGACAGUGGAACUCCAUGUGUAGCGGUGAAAUGCGUAGAUAUAUGGAAGAACACCAGUGGCGAAGGCGGCUGUCUGGUCUGUAACUGACGCUGAGGCUCGAAAGUAUGGGUAGCAAACAGGAUUAGAUACCCUGGUAGUCCAUACCGUAAACGAUGAAUGCUAAGUGUUGGAGGGUUUCCGCCCUUCAGUGCUGCAGCUAACGCAUUAAGCAUUCCGCCUGGGGAGUACGGCCGCAAGGCUGAAACUCAAAGGAAUUGACGGGGGCCCGCACAAGCGGUGGAGCAUGUGGUUUAAUUCGAAGCUACGCGAAGAACCUUACCAGGUCUUGACAUACUAUGCAAAUCUAAGAGAUUAGACGUUCCCUUCGGGGACAUGGAUACAGGUGGUGCAUGGUUGUCGUCAGCUCGUGUCGUGAGAUGUUGGGUUAAGUCCCGCAACGAGCGCAACCCUUAUUAUCAGUUGCCAGCAUUAAGUUGGGCACUCUGGUGAGACUGCCGGUGACAAACCGGAGGAAGGUGGGGAUGACGUCAAAUCAUCAUGCCCCUUAUGACCUGGGCUACACACGUGCUACAAUGGAUGGUACAACGAGUUGCGAACUCGCGAGAGUAAGCUAAUCUCUUAAAGCCAUUCUCAGUUCGGAUUGUAGGCUGCAACUCGCCUACAUGAAGUCGGAAUCGCUAGUAAUCGCGGAUCAGCAUGCCGCGGUGAAUACGUUCCCGGGCCUUGUACACACCGCCCGUCACACCAUGAGAGUUUGAACACCCAAAGUCGGUGG